RNAcentral lists this ribosomal RNA (250 nucleotides) under uncultured bacterium. Its description in RNAcentral is "partial 16S ribosomal RNA". It matches the Rfam family "Bacterial small subunit ribosomal RNA", at positions 526 to 779 of the family's 1533-position model. The record is from RNAcentral.
CAGAGGUCUCGAGCGUUAGUCGGAUUCAUUGGGCUUAAAGCGUACGUAGGCGGAUAUGCAGGCGUCGUGUGAAGCCCUCGGCUCAACCGAGGAAUUGCACGGCGAACCGCAUGUCUUGAGAUCGGUAGGGCGGUCGGAACGAUAGGUGGAGUGGUGAAAUGCGUUGAUACCUAUCGGAACGCCGAAGGUGAAACAGGCCGCUGGGCCGAUUCUGACGCUGAGGUACGAAAGCGUGGGAGCAAACGGGAUU